This is a long non-coding RNA of Pezoporus flaviventris, 2076 nucleotides long. RefSeq lists it as uncharacterized. The record is from RefSeq and is a predicted model, not a curated record. The transcript is spliced from 2 exons. Lineage: Eukaryota; Metazoa; Chordata; Aves; Psittaciformes; Psittacidae.
AAGUUGCAGUGGUUGCAUCUCCAAGCUCAGGUUGACCUGAGAACCUACUAGAGUUACAGGCAUGCUCAGCUUGGUUUGCAUGGAGCAAUGAACUAUUUUGCUGCAGUCAGAUCAUGUGUACACCAUAUGCUGUGGGUGAAGAGAAGGCAAGUCAUACCAGGUUAAAGUAUAGCCUUUUCAUGUGCUUUCUUCCCUCCUUCUGUCCCUCCCCUAAACAGGAGUCUUUUUCACUCUCCUGCCCUUAACCUGAGCUCUGCAGGACACCAGCUAAGGGAGCAUUCUCUCUUUGCACGGUGAAUUAAUGAGUUCAGAUGGUCACCUUACACAGCAGAGAUGUGUGGGAAAGAAAACCUGUGUCAAUGUGAAACAUGUGUGCGCCUAUCCCAAGGACGAGGCAUCUGAUUCAUAAAUCAGUGGCAGGGAGGUAAGGAGAGAUGUGUGGGUUUGUUAACAACUGUUGGACUUAAAUGGUGCAUUUUACUCUUUUUCAUCUUAAGUCUCCCAAGAAGAUCAUAUUUUUGACUUAUAUGUUUUCUUUCUGGUGCUGACCACAGUUUAAAGCAUCCAGAAGGUCAGUGUGUUCCCGUUUAGUGUUGUCUUGUGAUUACCAGUGAUGCUCUGUGCACACAAGCAUUGCCAGGAUCUGUAGGUCUCUGAGCCUUGCUUUCAGGGCUGGAGGAGAGGAAGACUCUGCUGAAGAAAACUGCCCCGUGUCUCCUCCCACACCGCAAAGACCAAAUGGAUCCUUCUGAGAAUCCGCAGUUCCUGCUUACGCCACGCGUGACAUUCCCAAUCCCUUCACCACUCAUGGUCGUUUCUGUGGCUCUUCCUCCAUAACUAACUCCAACUGGCACAGCUGAGACCUCAGCACGAUGAAUCCUUGGAGCACAGCCAGCUCUUGCUUUUAUUUUGCACUUGUGUUGCUGAUGUCAAGCCUUUGAACGAGGCCCCAGUUGCAGCAUGGAGCAGACGAAUACAAGGAGGGUGGUUCUUGUCUUGUGGAGUCGACAAGAGUCACAAGAUCUCCAACAGGAUGCCAGACUGUGAGCGUUUGUUGUGGUCCAAGCCACUGCUUAUUUCCUCUGGUGACGCAAACUGGAGUCAGUCCUUUCUGGUGGUCGAGUGUGUGCGGAGGGCGAUGCAAACCUCCCGGCAUCUCUCUGCUCGUACAUGCGCACGUGUUUGCGCAAACCCAGAACCAACAGGCUUGAAUCAAAGACAACUUGGUGUGGUGGUUUGGUCUGUGGGCUGCUGGGGCUCUGCACCAGGAGCUGUUGGGCUGGAAAUCUCUGGAUGGAGAUGUGGAAAGAGCGUGGGAUGUGUAGCACCUCAUGCUGCUGAGACCAGCAGAGGCUGGAUCUUAACGUUCUCAAGCUGCAAGCAAGAGCUUCCCAGCUAGAGCUAAACAUUUGCCGUAGACAUCUGUAACGUGGGACAGAAAUAAGAUGCUAUUAACUAGCCUGUGAUAAUAAUCAUAACCUUGGACAUAAAUACUCUCCUGCCAGUGGUUUCCAAUGCAAUCUGGUCAAAACAGAGAUUAGGCUUCAUGAUUUCAUGGCAGUGAAUUUGCCUCCUGCUCUGCAAGAAGAAAGAAAAACUCUUCAUAAUGAAUGGUGCCGACAGCUUUAGGACCUAUAAGCUAUCUGCCUGCUGAAGAACGGUUGUUAAGUCCUCAAUACCUCAGCAGCCUCUUUCCAGUUUAAUAACAACACUUCUCCUCUCUCAUGUUGCUGUAGUUGUAUGGAUUUUAAGUCUGCAGCCAGGGUAGGACCAAGUGACAGCAGCAACAAAAUAGUCAUUGGUGUUGACUUGCAUUGCCUUACUGAACGUCAGUAGUUGAAAAUGCACCUGCACUACACAUGCAACAGAAUAUCCUGUAGAACUCAUUGUUUUCCAGGUGACGCUGAUCUGUCUCUUUCUGACAUUGUAUGGCUCCUUGAAAGCAACAUUCUGUUCCUGUAAACAAAAGCAGUUCUCACUGUGCAGGAGUGACAACUUGUACAGAAAACCUUUCUGAUUUGGAAUGCAAAAUGAAGUCCCUUUUCUCUGUGGAAAUCCAAGAUUUAGCACAUGCAA